Hyla sarda is the source of this 327-nucleotide long non-coding RNA. RefSeq lists it as uncharacterized. Lineage: Eukaryota; Metazoa; Chordata; Amphibia; Anura; Hylidae. The transcript is spliced from 3 exons. The record is from RefSeq and is a predicted model, not a curated record.
GAUAGUUAUGGAAGAUGGAAGUGGGUUUAUGUUUGCCCUUCUAUCUCUACAGUGCAGUAUGAUGGGUGCUGCAAGAGAAAACAAGUGACCAACAGGAAAGACUUGGAACUCCCCAUAUAGCUAGUCACUGUUCAAAGUGGUGUCCUGUCCCAGGCAGUGAUCAGGAAGCUGCAGAAAGCAGUGGGGACUGGAAAUUGAAAAGGAUCAAGGCAGAGGAGAGGAUCGUGGCAGAAUUAAGAUCUCGCGAGAAUGUAAAUGUAUUUAACUUGGUGAUGGGCGUUUUUCACAUUGUGCUGGACAAAGAAGGUGUUACCUUCGAAACGUUGC